UAAGUCCUGCAAGUCACCGCUUUAAUUUUUUAUGAUUUUCUAUUUAAUUUCAGGUGAUGUGACGGACAACAUGAGAUUCUCCUCGUCAUUGUUGAAGUUCUGUGUUGUGUCAACUCUUCACAUAGUUGCAUUUGAUCAUCCCGACGAGGAGCCUAAUUUGAUCAUUUCUGAUCUAGCGUACACAGAUUUUCCCUUAAAUCAAAUAUAAGGUUUUUCUGCAGACGAUGCCGUGUAGUGGCGUGGGUAUCGCUGAUGCUGGGUGACGUCAAGAUGAACGCUUAGCAGCCUGCGGAUCCCGAAACACUCAUUCGCUGGUAACCUGCUGUAACAGAUGCUGAGUGAAGUGAAUAUCUUGCAUUUCCAACUGGAUCUUUCACAUAGCUUUGAAACUGCAAAGUUUAGACUGGCCAAGAGGGAGGAUUGUUUUUGUUGGAAUGUACUUUUAAGAUAAAUCAAGUAGGUUAGUAUAUUGCUUACGUUUUAGUCUGCGUAUGUGUGCUAAAGAGUCGUACACUCGUACGUUAUUUUAGAAUGUUUAAAAUUAGAUUUAGGUAUAUUUUCAACAUGUUCCAACUGAUGACGUGUUUAUUAAUUAUUUUUCAAUUACCAUUGUAGAGUUCAACCUGCACCCG
Molecule: long non-coding RNA, 632 nt
Filed under: Daphnia pulex (common water flea)
Lineage: Eukaryota; Metazoa; Arthropoda; Branchiopoda; Diplostraca; Daphniidae
Description: uncharacterized LOC124195885, transcript variant X2
Source: RNAcentral